This is a long non-coding RNA of Astyanax mexicanus (Mexican tetra), 525 nucleotides long. RefSeq lists it as uncharacterized. Lineage: Eukaryota; Metazoa; Chordata; Actinopteri; Characiformes; Acestrorhamphidae. The record is from RefSeq and is a predicted model, not a curated record. The transcript is spliced from 3 exons.
GGUGCAACACAAAAAAACAAAAAAGGAUCCAGUCAAAAUUCCAGUGACUGCUGCACACACGUUCACUGGAAGACAUGCCUUUCAUCAGACGAUGGUGGUGUACUCUGCUGAUGACUAACUUCGCUGUGCAAAUGCCAAGAUGCAAGUUAUCUGAAGGAGAGGAUGGAAGUGAUGAGCCUCCUUAUAAGAAACAGCACCUCCAGGAACAAUCAGAUUGCACAGGUAUACACUGAUUUUUUUUUUUUUGUAUUAUUUUGAACAGUGUGAUAGAUUACAACCAAUCCAUUUUCUCAGAUAAGGUGAUGUACAAAUUUGCUUCAUACUCAUGCAGACAAUGUUUUGUUAGGUACACCUAACUAACUGAUUAACAACAGACUGCAUGGGUGUUGCUAUUGAGUAAAUGCUAAACCAGAUACCCACAGAAAAAGAUUUGAGUAUAAGGUGUUCUGCUCUAAUUAUGUUCUACGGUGUAAAGAAAUAAUUCAUAUGGAACCAAGGAAUAGGAUAAUGUGAGUAAUAUAAUGU